CUCGCACCGCCCGCUGCUGCUGCCCCUCCGGAGCCCGCGCGAAGCGGGGAAGGUCGGGCCGGCGGGCGUCUGUCGCUCCGGUAUCCCCGGCGGGGGAAACUAGGAGAAGCGGCGAUUGCUGCCGGGCGGAAAGCAUCUCUCUCGCCCUGCCAAAGCAGCGCGGCCUGCCGCUGCCUCCGUUACUUACACGUUGGCUUGAAAACAUACAUCUAAAAGCUCUACUGAAAAGCAAAACAAGACACACAGCUAUUUAAAACACACAGAUUGCUGCUGGAGAUUGCCUACGAAGAACCUGCCCGUUGAAAGUGCUGUUUCUUGAAAGCCAGUGCACUCUGCAAGAACAUUUAAAGCUGCCGUAACCAUUAGGAUUCAGAAGUACACCCAGAAACACAUGAAUAGGACAAGAGACCGUGUUAACACAACAGACUGUUCCUGUGCUCCUCAGCCUAUCCAACCUAUAUACUGGCAGCAGAGCAAGCAGAUGCCACACCAGCCGUCUUCCUUCCACUUCAGCUGUUAAAUCAAUGUUUAUUAGUCGUGAAUUCUGGCAACAGAAUUCACUAUACACUAUAGAACAGUGUUUUAAGAAAAUCCAUCUAUUCUUUUUUAAAAAGGAAUAAGGGUUCAGCUCUUUAGGUCUGCCUUAUGAUUGUGGAAGUAAGCAGCCCGGUGGUGUUGGCUGCUCUGAGGCUUGAAGGUGCUAACACUAGCAGCUUGUGGUUUCCCUUAGAGUAACACUGGGGGUGUUUUAGCACACCUGCUUUCUCUUCCCUCUCCCUGACCUGUACAUGAAAAUACAGGUAUGACAAAAAGAAGCACCAUUAAUAAAGUAGAUACAGCUUGAGAGGCUGAAUGAAUUUCUGGCUUCACUGCAGUAGGGAAUACUUUCCCAGUUUUAAAUGAGGCUGGAAUCUAGCACACUGGAGUGAAACACAAAUCAAUGCACCGAAUGGGUACAUUUUCGUCCAUCACUCCAGAACCUCUCCUGGCACACAGAAAGCAGACCUUGCCUUAUCAGUAUUUUGUAAAGUACUGUUGCUAUGUGUGUGUUUGUGUGUGAGAGAGAGGGACAGAAAACUGCAAUGAUUUCAAGACUUUUUAAGGUCUGAGAGAACCUAAGUCUAUCCCUAAUCUCUUAAACACAACCCUGAUCUCAGCACUGCCACUGAUCUCAGCAGCCAUGCCCAGUCUUCCUGGGCCAAAUGCAGCUGUUGGAAGUACCACCCGAAAGAAUAAAACAUCUCUCAAGAAUAAAUUGCAAGGAUCACAAUAAUGGGCUGUGAAAUGAAGAGUGAGGUAAGUUUUCAAGUAUUUUUUGUCUUAUUCUGAUAUUCACAGGAUCUGACAGAAACUAAUUUCCAGCAACUAUAUUUCUCUGCUUAUUUGUACACCUGUGCUUGAAAGUAUUUUCCCUGGUAUUUAAAUCCAGGGGAAAAAAUACCUUAUAAUACCUAAAUAGUUAUACCACUGCCAUUAAUCCCUGACACUUUAGUACUUUGAUUCCUUGGCAACAAUGUUGAUGAGAUCAUUAGUUAAAAUACUGCUAGUAAAGGUAAAAGGACAUUUUAUAUCUCCCUCUCUUACAAGUAAGGGAUCAGGCUGGAUCUACCUACUACCAUUUCCAACUACGGCUGUUUAUUACAGUUUAUACAGUUACACUUUUCAUUUGUUCCUGUUCAAAAGCAUUUACAGCUUUUAAUUUGGAAUUGUUCAACAUACUUUUUGAACCCCAAAACUUCUCCAGGAAGUGACUACUUAAUUGCCUGAACACCAUUAGGAACAAUAUUUAUGUCUCUCCAACUUGAGCUUUUGUUUAUGCCCUGUUGACAGAAAUGGCACAAGGGUCUGAGCACAUACAGCAGUUAACUGUCACUGAAAAUUCAAUAUAAAAAAAGAGAACAUUGAAAUCCACACAGCAUGGAAAUUGUUUUUACAUUCUCAGUUGUGAUUCUGCACAAGGAGACUGCAGGAUUUUAUACACUUUUAUUGCUGGAAAUCGUACACCUGCAAAAAUUAACUAUUACAUGUAUUUCUCAAGUAUCCUAUUAAAAACUUGUCUUGGAGAAUAGGAGUUUGGGCUUUAACCACUAGAACUCUGCUUUAUAUACAAACGCUGAAGUACUCCACUCCCAGAAUUAUAGGUGUAAGAAAAUCAAGCAAUCAUUUGACAUUACAUCUAACUCCAACAGACACUUGACAGCUGAAGUGCUCAAGCACUUACUGGCAUGUCAUCUCCUACCGGGGUGCAGCUCACAAGGUUUCCCUCAUGCUUUACUGAGGAAAAUCUUCAAGUCAAAUGUUCAAUCGAAUUAUCAAGCUGCAGCAUUAGAGAUUUUGCACAAUCUACUGGGCCUGUAAAUGUAGCUUGUGACAGUACUUUAUUUUACAUCUUGUAACUCCAAAUAAAAAUUGUGAGCUAUUUGAAGGCAGGAUCCAAAGUAUCUGAAUGACCAGACUCUUGGGGCAAACAACUAUGCUGUCUCUUGGUCUGUUAGCCUGGCCAGGUGAUAGCACUUCAACACCAUAAUGAAUACAUACACCUCAUCCUCCAGACAGAAUGAUUUGCAGCCCUUUUACUACGUCACUUCUUUGUUAAGUCUCUGUUCACAUAAGUUUCUGCUAUUUGUAAAGGGCUCUAAAGAGAAAAUCCAGAUCUGCAGUUGUAGUGGAAGUUUUGAGACUAUAUGACGUCAUGUAGACGUGAAUCAAUGUAUCAAUGCAGCUGCUCCUCAGUCAUAUAACCUGUGAGAUUGAUCACUCAGUACGUGAAACUGCUGGAUGCACAGUGAUUCUCAAAAAAAGCUUGAGAACAAACUGUAUCAAACAUCACAGUGGAACACCAUCUUCAGACUAAAAACAGGCAGUAAAACAUGAGUGAAAUGAGGACACCACAUACAAAAUCAUGGCAUACACUGAAAACACCACCAACUACUAAAUGGCAUGAGCAUUGCUGAAGGUAAAAACACUCCAAACAAUGCAGUGAAGAGCUGUGUGGCAUUAAACCACAUAGCACACAAAGGACUCUUGGAAGAAUCAGUAUGAUCUGUUUUUGGUGGGACAUUAGUACACCAUGUGUGUGCUAUAAAUAAAUACAAAAUAUUGAAAUUUUCCUCUGCAAGAAAGACACUUAAAAAUCAGUUCAUAGUUUUUUUCAAUUUAUGAUACUUAUAUGAGAAAGCCAAAGUGCUGACUAGCCUCUGUAUUAGGAAUAUUACUGUGUAGUCUUGCUUGGAGAUCUUUUUUCUUUCUUUGAGGUUUCCCAUUAAGAGCUCUUUAGGGCUAUUAGUUCUGUUACCAAACAGAGUUCAAGUGAAAUAUCUUUAUCCGCUUUAAAUCAUAUACCCAUUUUUAAAAUUGGAACAUGUUAACUUAAACAAUUUUUUUUAAGGUUAGGUCCUCAAUGCAAUUGUAUUUAAAGUCUACAUUGUGUCAGUCUAAUUGAUAGGUACACAUUAGAUAAAUAAUUUACAUGUGGAAUCACUGCAUGGGAAGAUACAGAGGAAGGACUCCAAGACUCCUGCACUUCAAAAAAUGAAAAGAAAUGCUCAUCAUCUGCUUUUAAUAAAGAAAGCUAUUGAUUGAACCAAGACAUACAGCUAGUACUUCACCACCAUCUAUAAUCUGCAUACUUAACAUAAAAUGUUGCUGAAUAUGGCUAUUGAUAGGAAUUUAGAGCCUAUCAAUGUAGUUAUUUACAGAUGAUUGCAUGGAGGCAAUGCAGGGGAAUAUUUUUUAAAAAUUUCUAGAUUGCUUCUGAAGUUUGGAGACCAUGUCUCUCCUCCCGAAGUUUAACUCUUCUCAUUGUGCACAGAAGGGAUCAAAUCUCACCUGAAAUUUCACCUGUGUACCUAGGAACAAGAAUCCCAAGGACUGAUCCCCGGGAGAGGGGCCAGCUUGCAAAGAACUGAUGACAUCAAUGUUAUUUACUUUCUGAACUCCCUAACAUGCUGGUCACAUCCAAAGUGCCCACCAGAAAUGGUACCUUGCCAGCUCCUGAACAGGCCAAAAUCUGUGCCAGCAACUGUUCUAACAACCAACUGUACAGAUGACUGAGCUACAGUGUCCCAGAAAAUUUCCUGGCACUACCAAGUCUAGUGACACAGAUGUAGUGUGACAGGCAUAACAUUAAGCCUUUAACAUACUCAUUUUGGUCUCAGCCAAAAAUGCAAUUCAUCUUUUUUUAACCACCUAUUUUAGGAUGAAACAAUCUUUCAAUUAGCUUUUGUUGCUCUAACUCUGACUAAAAGAGGCAUCUGACAUCUCACAGCAUUGUGGCUAUUAAACCAAGAGCAAAGCAUGGAUUUUUAAGAUGUUUAGCCUUGGAAGCAUAUUAAAUAUAGUACUAACAAAACUGAAGCAUGAUCUUUGCAAAUAAAUAACGUAUUUUACGUUUUCUUGUCAAGUGCUUUUCUUCUCUUGAUGAUCCAAUACAAAACAAGGUUGAAAACUCUUAUUUUUUAAUGCACACUGAAUUUUAUAGCAUCUUGUAACAGUAAUAAUCCUCAUGAAAAACCCUGGAGUUAAAGGAAUUUUUGCUUCCCCUUUUUUUUCCUCACUCCCAAGAUGAAGAUGUUGUAGUAUGAUAAUACCUUGAAUAACCUUUGUAUAAUAUCCCUGAAGAGUAACUGAGACUUCAGGGUAGUAAAGAAUAAUGUAAGCCAAAAAGCUGUGCAAACAGGCAGAAUUUGACUUGUGAAAUGAGCAUGACUAGCAACAACUGGUAAACAUAAACUGCUUUGGAGUUUGAAGAAUGGAUGUAUGGAUUUCCAACACCUCCACAUGAAUUUACUGUGCGUCAGCACAUUCAAGAUUAAGUUGUGGGGAUAAUUAACAUAGACAUAGCUUCCAUUAAGGUUUUAACAGUAGUUUUCCAAGACUUUAAAGUCCUGGAAAUGAUGGCAAUUGCUCAGUAUGCACAUAGGCGGCACAACUAUGUAUUUUAUCAUUUCACUCUUGAGGUAACUUUAGUUUCAUUUAGCUCCUUCAGGUUUCCAUGGGCAUUUAGGACUAGUUCAAGCUACCAACUACAAAUCUAGCACUAAUGGUAGUUCCUAAACCAUUAUAGUAAUUCAUAAAAAUAGUGCCUCACAGUUUAAAGGGUUUGCAUCUUGUGAUUAUUAACUUGAAACGGGGUAACUGAAUUUUGCAUAGCAUUAUUUUUUAGUAUCAGGAUGUUGUGAAAUACUAGGUCUUUCAUAAAAACAGUGUAAUGACUUCCCUUUCCAAAACUUAUUUCUCAGUCUGAGAAUUUUUUUCAAUUUGCCUUUUCUGUUAAUUCAAUUACAUUAAAUCAAGUGAAUUAAACUAUGUUACAAAUAUUGGCAGUUCAGUAUAGUGUAUCAGUAUAGUAAAAUAUUGGUUGAACACAAUACUCUGAGUAAAUCUAGACUUUUGUUUUGUUUAUUUUGUACAACUCUCACUGAUCUGUCCAAGAGUCAGCUCUUACUUUCAUACCCUUUUUCUCCCACUCUAGCAACAGAAGUUACUUAAAUGACACAGUCAGCACUUUUGGUCAAGGCACACCAAAUGCAGACAACACAGCUCAUGUUAUAGUUGGGCUUCUGAUGUUUCCAAUUUACUGGAAAUCUUCUUCUCAAAGAGAUAAGCAUUUCAGGAUCAUCUCUGAUUUUAAAAGCUGUAACUGUCCCUUUUUAAAAUAGGAGAUUUAACAUAUCUUUUGCAAAUUCUACAAGCAAUGUACUGGGAAUCACUUAUUUGUUCACUUGACAAAUCAUCUACUUGACACAUUUGCAGUCUAGUUUGUUACUUAAGGAAACGAACAAAGAAAAUUUCUGCCACCUAAAGGUCACACUUCAGCUCCAGACAGAAAGAGUCCAUGGUCCUUAAAGAGCUACCCGAGGUAAGUACUAACCACCUCCCUGAUGGAAGUGGAGUGGCAAAAGGGGAGGAAGUGGCAAAAAGGAGGACUUCUCUCUGUAAAGAAGGUACAGAAGUUACAUAGGGGAAUUAGCAGAACUGGAGCUGCCAGUCAUUAAAAGUAACAGAAUAAAGGCAACCACUUAGGAGCAGUGAGGAAACAGAAAGCAAGGGCUGGAUCAGGUAAGCCCUUACUGUAUACUGGUAAACUAGAGGCCAGAACAAUUACUUGGGGUUGGAGAAAAAUUAAGAGUAGAAAAAUGCUGAAGCAAACAAUAACAAGUAAGUAUUGUUCAGGGAACAAGUGGCAUCUUAGAUUAAUGAAUGAUUCAAAGCUUCAUGAUUUGUUUAUCCAGGUCCAAAAAUGCAUGUGGUAAAGAAGGAAAUCCAGACCAUUACUGUGGUUUUUAGAUUAUUGGAUUAUCACAUUUUGAGGAAUUGAGGCAAACUAUUUUUUAAAUUCAACUUCAGAGGAUAAAAAAAUACUUAUAGAUUCAGCAUAAAUGACAUUCUAUAAUUAGUUGGCAGAUAGAACAACCUACAGUUCUUCUUCAAGAUCUUAAUGUGCUUUUACUUUUUAAAAUCAAAACACAACGCCCCCAAUACAUUCACACACACACCCCCCAACCUUCUUGCAUCACUUCUGAAAAGCACAUUUGCAGUUUAUCAGUAGUUUCAUUUGUUAAGAUCAAGUGAGGUGAAAGGCACCAAUAGAACAUUCUUUAAAGAGAACCAGACUAGUAGCUUAUCUUAGGUAAACAACUGUCACACGGGAGAACAAACAACUUAUAUUUGUAAGGCCAGCAUGUGGACAUACUACAAAAAAGAUUGAAAAAGCCCUCGAUAAAACUAUGCAAAUAACUUUGUCCUUGUGUACCCUCUAGUGGCUGCCCAGGUUGUGCUGGCCCCACAGUAACAAAGCAGGAAAUUCCCUCAACCAGACAAAAUCAGAGUGCUUCCCUCUGCAACGGCUCUUCUAAAUAUAUGAAGACUUGUGAGAUUAGGGUUCUGAGCUGGCAAAAGUAUAUUAUUUGGAGUUUUAAGUUUACAACAAAUUCUGCCUUGUUAGUUUAAUGAAGUGAACCCAAGUUUUCCACUGAUAUAUCAAGCAGACGAUACAUCACGCAGCAAGAUGCAUCAAGCUAUUCACAUAGCAAUCAUUCAGGGCACGUACCUGCAUAACUGUGGUAUAUGUGCAUGCUGCACGCAAACUGCAGCAACGUCAGUAAAUUAAGCUGGGUAUUACUCUUCCAGAAGUCCUCUGAGGUGGGGAAAAAGUCCAAUACACAGGUUGCAGACACUACCUAAGAGCCAUUUCUGUAUGGAAUAGCAGUUCAAGAUUAUUGAAAAAACCUGCUUUAAACUAGAACUGGCUGUUUUGUCUGUAUGUGCUGAACUGGAUUAUGUCAGAGAGAAAAACUGUCAUCCAGCAUAAGAACAUUCUGCAAGCACACAACUAAUGUUUAAUUUGUUUCAUCUUAAACAAACAUAAAAGACCGUACAACAGACAUUUCAAAUAACUCCACUAAAAAUCUCCACUCCUCGCACCCAAACUCUCCAAUACAUAAAAGCAAACGUCAGCACCCUAGUCAAGGUACCAAGUUCUCUCCAUAAUGAAAAAAAACUCAACUCAAUCCUCACUGCUAUGAUUUGGCAAAAGAAUAUAAAUUGCAUUCUACACAGCUAGUGAAAUGUGAAAAUUAACAACAGUCAAAAAGUGAAUAUACAGAGUUUUUAGCACCUCAUAUCUACUUAUUCAUGAACUCUAGAUGCUACAGCUAGUCGCAUCAUUCAGUUAAAGAUGCAAGUCAUUAAAUAGCGUCAGAAGAAACACCCUGAAAACUGCUAAGUGUUGACCCUUUAACAAAUCACUACACAAUUUGUGCAGGAGGGCUAAGACCUCUCCUGAUGCUGUGCCAUUAUAAAUGAGGCACUCACAUUGCCAACAUAAUGAAGGCAAAGGGUAAUUAGACUAUAUACCAAUUCCUAUAUAUUACACGAAAAAAAAUCAAAGCAACUGUCUUGAAAUGAUAUGAGAUAAUGCAC
Poecile atricapillus (Black-capped chickadee) is the source of this 7923-nucleotide long non-coding RNA. RefSeq lists it as uncharacterized. The record is from RefSeq and is a predicted model, not a curated record. The transcript has 2 exons. NCBI's taxonomy places the organism in Eukaryota, Metazoa, Chordata, Aves, Passeriformes, Paridae.